Molecule: long non-coding RNA, 207 nt
Organism: Phyllostomus discolor (pale spear-nosed bat)
Lineage: Eukaryota; Metazoa; Chordata; Mammalia; Chiroptera; Phyllostomidae
Exons: 4
Source: RefSeq, a predicted model, not a curated record
AAUUCUGAACACCUUCAGCAUACAUUUUUUCUUUCCUUAUUAAGUCAAGAAUUUUCACCUUUUUACAUACAGGAAGCAUUUUAUGGCUUCUCUCUGGCAUGUCUAAAUUGCCAGUACCACUACUCUUGUACUUUGGGGCCAUUAUUUAGUAAAAUAAGUGUUACUUGGACACAAGCACUGCUUGUGUAGUGUUAGCUCUCUAUUCCA